GAACGCACAUUGCGCCCCUUGGUAUUCCGAGGGGCAUGCCUAUUCGAGCGUCAUUAUCACCCCUCAAGCCUAGCUUGGUGUUGGGGCAUGCCGUCACCGGCAGCCCUCAAAAUCAGUGGCAGUGCUGUCAGGCUCUAAGCGUAGUAAAACCAUCGCUAUGGCGUCCUGGGAGUCCUCGCCAGAACCCCCCAUUUUUUAAUGAUUGACCUCGGAUUAGGUAGGGAUACCCGCUGAACUUAAG
Molecule: unclassified non-coding RNA, 241 nt
Filed under: uncultured fungus
Lineage: Eukaryota; Fungi
Description: sequence contains 5.8S rRNA gene
Rfam family: 5.8S ribosomal RNA (bases 1-53)
Source: RNAcentral